Limulus polyphemus (Atlantic horseshoe crab) is the source of this 8057-nucleotide long non-coding RNA. RefSeq lists it as uncharacterized. Lineage: Eukaryota; Metazoa; Arthropoda; Merostomata; Xiphosura; Limulidae. The record is from RefSeq and is a predicted model, not a curated record. The transcript has 3 exons.
CGAAUGAUUCGUCUACGAGCGCGGGCCCAUGUACGCAUGGACUCCGAUCACUCUCUGCUGGGUUUUCUGACCAACUCUGUGGAAACAGGCUUCGCCUUAGGGAAGCAGUGCAGCGCAAAUUCGCGUUUCAUUAAACCACCAAAUUUUUGCUGAAGCGCGAAAAGUCUACCAGACUGCCUGGAACAGAGGAAGAAUCAACUGUGUGGAAGAUAAGGUUUUUUGCCUGCUCGGCUUUAGUUUGUUGGACUUUGAUACAAACUGGAGUGUACCUAGAAGCUUAACGGGGUAUGAAGUAAAAUCCUAUAAAUAUCAGUUGCUCCACCAUUUUGGCCACAAACGUAUGUGUAGUUGAGCUGGUGUUCUAUCCUUCUCUUAUAUCCCUUCUGCUAACAAAGUCUGUCUCGUUUACAUUUUUCUUAGAGUGGUGAAUUAACCAUAAGAAUGCAGAACUGAAGUUAGUAAAUAAGCUUUAAUCAAAUAUCCUUUAAAGUAGUAAUGGGAACUCAUUGUUACGGGACCUCAGCUUUUAACCCCUCGUCCUGUCCUCUGGGUUGGAUUGGUUGAAUAAGAGACUGUUUUCAAGCUUUUCGUCUGUGAAAACUAAUACAGAUAUUUUUUGUUUCUUUUAAAAGGAUAAAAGCUUUAUCCUGUCGACUCCUGCCUGUGUAGUUUGUGGAACAAGAUCCGAAAAUUUCUGAAUUCAACCUGCGAGACUCCUCUCCAUUAAUACAUGAUGGCGCGAAAAUAGAUCAAGAAGUAGCGGAGGUGUGGCCAGUGAUGGAAAAAAAAAAUCCCGAAGAAGAAUCCUCUCUGCUUGUGAGAAAAAUAGUGAAAUUACUUAAUAUUCAAGUAAUUAUGGCACAACCACCAUUAAAAAGAUAAAACUUAUUAAUGAUAUAGGUAUUAUUGAUUCAGCGGUUUUAAAUAUAUACGAUUUCUGGGACAAAUAUCAUUGUAAAUGGAUAUUACUGGUUAGUUUUGCUAAAUGAGGCAGAUUUAGAGUAAGAAAGUUCGUCAGUACUAAUUUCUGGUUUAAAUUAUUCAGCAAAGAAUUUUCUACAAAUACAUAUAAAUAUAUAUAUAUAUAUAUAUAUGAUUAAUCUUUUAAAUGUAAAUUUACUUUGUUUCUUGCUUUCAUAUUUAAGUACAAACAACACAAUGGGCUACCUGAGCCACGGGUAUCUAAUCCCAAUUUUUAGCGUGUAAGCUCUCAAACUUAACACUAAACUACUGGAGGACCAAAGGUAUAUCUGCACUCUGUUCACCGCAGGGAAUCGAGCCCUGGAUUUUAGCGUUGUAAGUCCAUUAUUUUACCGCUGACCCAACGGGGGCUCGUUUCGACAGAGACAAUGCAUAACUUAUUACUUUUUCCCUAGUGGUGAUCCCCUGGAAGGACAGAGGUAACUCUUCGGAUUUACAACGCUAAAAUCAGAGGUUUGAGUUCCCCUCAGUGGACACAGCAGAUAGCCCGAUGUGGCUUUGCUAUAAACAAAACACACGCAUACAUACUUCCCCUAGUGGCUCAACGGUUAGUUUGACGACUUAUAACUCUAAAAAUCGGGUUUCGAUACCCGUAGUUGGCAUAGCAGAGAUAGCUCGUUGUGAGACUUGCGCUUUACAACAAACAAACUAUUAUGUUUGUUGCUCCGUAAUUUGUACAUAUUGUGAAACAGUUUCUUUGGUUAAAUAAUUGAGUUACAAUUUAAAGUUAAUUUACUUAAAUAUCUUGCUUUAAUGGUAAGUUUUAUAACUGGUAGUUUAAGCGUAAUACUAGGACGUACUUUAUUCAGUGAUAAAAAUCCACCAUUUUGUUAGAAGACGCUGUGUUUAUUAAUUCCAUUAACCUCCUCAAAGUAUGUUGUUAUUUUAAAAAAUACAUCGCCAUUAAUAUGAUCAUUGACUUAAAGUUUGUUACUGUAUGUUGCCAUUUAAUCGUCUAUUAGUACAAUAUCUGGUUAGUAUUACUGGUGAACACAUCACAUAGAAUUAAGAUUUUACUUUAAGAAAAUACUCAUUGAAUCAAUAUCAGUAAUAAUUGGAGUACCCCGGGGUUCUAUUUUUUGUGAUGAACAGAGUAGAAAUUGCCUAUUGUGUAUCUUUGCACUAGGAAAACAACAACAUCUUUAUGGAAAUAACAAUGAAUAAAUCCUAUAUUUUUCAGUUUUCCUCAAAUUAGUUUAGUCUAGGUUGUAAAGAAAAUCUUCACAACUACAGUAAUGGAAAUAUUUGUUGCAUCACCCACUUUUUUCACAUUUUUUUCUGGAAUAAUCUUCUGUUUUGAGGACAUAAUGCAUGUAGGUGCAAAUAUAAGUUUCACGGAUGAUUCAAUACUGUCUAAUUAUUCCCUCAGCAGCUUUUAUAGGCUAUCUGGGUAUUGCAUCAGCUAUUUUUUUUGGCUAUAAAUAGAGGUUCUUACUGAUAGUCAGUUUAGGAACCUAUCUGCUUGUGAUACUACCAUGACCAAGGAUUGCGAGUUAACUCCACGGAAAAAAAAGCAGUCAUUGUUUCUUUGACCAAAGAGGGGCUUUCGACAAGGCAUAUUGCUAGAAAAAUUAAAUUUAACCAGUCUACUGUGAGCUGCUGGGUGCAGAUAUAUAGAGAGAGACUGAUUGUGUGGAGUAGCGGAAGGAAAUGGGUAAAAAAGAAAGCUUCCACAGCAGUUAACGAUCGUAUUCUGAAACACAUGAGCCUACAAAAUCGUCGACUGUCGUCGAGGGAUCUCAAAAGAGCAUAGCAGGAAACUUCAGAGGUCACUGUCACCGUGCGCUCACCCUGUUUUCAUCUGUGUUCAGCCGUUUUCACAGCAAGACAGUGAAUAAAGAAACCCCUUCUCACCAACAAGACGAGGCUCAACUGGACCAAAGAGCAUGUUGACUGGACUGAAGCAAUGUGAACCAAAGAAUUUUCUUAGAGUGAUCAAAGAUUAACCUUCACGGGUCUGAUGGGAAGCACUUUGUUGAUCAAUGUGGAGAACAGUUUCACCCAAUGUGUUUAAAUGGAAAUGUGAAGUAUCCGAAGAGUCGGGUGACAUGGAGAUGCAUCUCUGGCCAGGAUGUGGGACGCCUGCAUUUUGUGAAAAGUAUUGUCAAUGCCGACAAGUACAUCAAGUUCUAGUUAAAGCCAACAAUUUGGGAUCACUUUGGUGGAGCUGACCGGUGCACAUUCCAGGAUGACUCUGCUCUAUGCCAAAGAGCUAAAAAGGUUGGUAACAUUUAUGCAAUCUAUGCAGCAGACGUGAAAUAAAGAAGAAAUUUCACUCUACGUGUAUUGAAAAGAGACAUUAGCUUUUAUUUCAUUGCUUCAGAUGAAGGACUGUUUAGAUCUGAAUCCUAUCGAAAACUGUUGAAAAGUAAUGGGUAAUAAAGUGUAAGAGAAGCAACAGAAAGAAGUGUAAGAGAAGCAACAGAAAGAAGUGUAAGAGAAGCAACAGAAAGGCACUUUGGAACUUCAGGAAACUCUAAUCCGCGUGUGCUAUCUUGAACUCGCCACUACCUACAUUCAGUUCCUCGUGCACUCUAUGCCACGACGAUGCUAAGCAGUUAUCAAGUCCAGAGGGAGCACAACCAACUGUUAAAACAAGAAACAGGCUCUGUGACCAAUUUUGUCAACUACAUUAGUAGCAUUAUCCUUAAAUCUAGGUUUUCUUCUUCACAGAACAUUUUCGUAUUUGCCAAAUAUUUCCUGAUCAUCUCCUACGAUACGUUUGUAACGGUUGGUUUGUUAAUAAAGAUGUAUAUAUAUGUGUUUGGAUGGCUGAAAUAUGAGUCAGCUUACACUACACAAUGUUCAUAACCGUUUUACACUAGUUCUGACACUUUCACAAUGCACAAUCUCGUAAGAAAUUUCAGGAACCAAGAAAAGUGUGAAAAACUUUGGGUGGUGCAAUCAUUUUUCCAUCACUAUAAAUGUAAUUGGUUAAGCAACAACAAAAAGUCUCUGUGUGUAAAAUUUAUCUUAUUUUUAAAAUGAUGAUUCUGUCUGACUGAGAAAAAUAUUGUAAAUUUUAUUGAUCGAGAACUAAAAUUCCGUAUAAAAACAGAUUGAGACUCUUAAAACAAUCUUUGUUUCUUCUUACUGAAGGGUUUAUUUUAUCCGGAUUAAUUACAAUGGCAGAGUUCUAAAGGAAAUUACUUAACAUACGUUUCAUUAAAACCCAAUACACACUGAACAACUUGCAUGUAUUUACAAACUUUAUUAGAAACUUUUCACAAAUACCAUUACUACAACCCCAUGAAACAGACAGUGACAUAAUGACAUCAUUUAUUAAUAAGUUUUACAAAAGCACAAAGAAAUGGCUUUCUGAUAACAAAGUAAAUUCAUUCGUGCUAAAAAUAUUUAGAAUUGGAAACCUACAUAACAUAAAUUAUGAAAUAAAAAGCCAAAGUUACAAAACAGAAAAAUGAGAUCAUUGAGUUUGUUUCGGUGGAUCGUUUACUCACACAGUAAAAGAAAAGUGAGAUUUUUUUGUAAAUCUAAAAACAAGCUACAAAAGAUCUGUCAAAAACAUGUUGCAGGUUUUGAAAAAAAAUUAUCAUCUGUAAAAUAUUAUUCAAGUAAUAUCAAACAAUUAGUGGAAUAAUACGAUAAAUUAUUUUAUUACUACCACUACUCAGAAUACUUUACGUUCAGCGGUGGUGGUAUUUACGUUAAUUUAUUUACUUUUUCGUCUUACCCAUUUAUAAUCUUACUUAAUGUUGAUGCCUCCUAGAAUAUUUUUAAAAUUUCAGCCAUUUUAUUGAUGUUAGUUUUUAUUCCCCUAAGCCUCCAGAAUACCUUAUUAUAAUAUUUAUACAUCCAUGCAUGUUAGUAAAAAAUAAGCCAGUUAACAUAUUAUAGAACAUUAAUAACUGUCUUGUUUCAUCAUUUUAUGUAAAGUAGAAAUUCCAUCUAAUUAAUGUUUUACAAAUGCCAUCUUAGGCAAUAUCUCGUCAUGAAUCUUCCAGUAGGUUAUCUGCUUUUUUAUCACAAUAUACAGUAGACUUAUGCCUAAUUUAGGUUCAUUUAAAAGUGUCAUGCGAUUUCAUCUUCAACUACUAAAGGACAGAUUUAGUUCGUAACAAGAACUACUGACUAAUUUUUCUAGUUAAAUUAUUAUUUAAAGAUAUAAUCUGUUACAAUUGUCUUUUCUUGAGAACGAUAUCACGAGGUAUUUACUGUCUUUAGAAGCUAGAAAUGUCUUCUUUUACAGCAUAUAUAUCACAUGAAAUAACUUUAUUAUAUUCUUACUGAAUUCCUAACAGUAAAAAUAUUAUUUAAAGUUAUUAGUUACCUCUAGUACCCUUUGUAAGUUUACGUAAAACAUAUACAUAUCAAAACUACCAUAGAACGUUCAAAAUUCCCUUAAUUUUUAGUGACUGUUUUGUUUCUAAAUAAUUUUGUAAGUUUGAAAAUUCCUGACAUAAAGUCCACGUCUUGUUUAACCAGUUAUCUAGAUUUUUUUUUCAUUAAAUAUUUGUUUCUUUUCAGUACGUUUAAGCGUAUAUAAUCGUGACUACCUAUUCAUUCUGUCUCUAUUCAUAAACAUAAAUGAAUAAAUUUCUAAGUUUGAUAUGUUGUUGUUUACACUUGAAAUGAUGCUGGCGCCUCUUCACCAACAUAUGAGGAAGAAAAAAUUGUAAUAUUGAGAUAAAAAAAUCAAAUAAUUUAAUUUAAGUAAGUAAACAUAUUGUAUUAAAGCAUAAAAUUUCAAGUAAGAAUUUUUUCUUCUGUUAAUCAAAAUAUAAAAUAUUACUCGAAACGUAGAUUUGUCGUUUAUAUAAGUAUAGUUUUAAUAGUUAUCAUUUCUUCUUCUCAAACAUGUACAUAUUUCUGAUGCUUUUUUGUAAUCAUCAAAUCACGUCAUUGACAAAAUAUCAUUCUGUGCGCUUUCGAGUGAUUUUUGAAAUACACACACACACACAUACAUUAAGCCUAACAUCCACAGAAGAACUUAUGAAUAUUGUAUUAUUUGUGGCUCACAGAACCAAAAGUUUUUCCGUCGUUUAAAGUUUUAUGACAUCAUCAGUUAAACUUCAUAUUUCUAAAUUUGCUAAACAAAACAAAUUGUAACUGAGCAACUGAGUAAAUUUUGAAAUUAUACUGAAGAUAAUGAAUUCCAAAAAACUCAGACACUUGACAAAAAACGAACAUGAUCACGUUACUUUUUUCGCAUAUUUAAAUUACCUGAUCUUGAAAUAAAAGAACUUUAUGAUAGAUCUCUAUACUAACAACAACAAAAUUCCGUGUGAAAAGACAAAGGAAAUUUUUAAUGGAAUUAAUAAUAAUUUAUUUCCAGGAAUGUUUUUCAGCAUAAUUUUCCAUAUCCACGUGAUUUUACAUUUUCCACUUUGUCUUCUUAAGGAACGUUUUUUUUUCUUUGCUAAACCAUGAUAAAUGCAUAUCAUUCUUAUUCCCUUGCUAUUAUAGAACCACAUAAGUGCAAGUGAAUACGUCAAAAUUUAAUUAGCUCUUAGAAGUUUGAAGUUAUUAAAUCAGUUCUCGUUUUCGUAUACAAAACUUUAAACGAUUAAAAUGAUAAAUUAACAAGAAUGAAAAAGUUGGUACAACGAGUGUUAACAAAAGAUAAUGUGGAUUCGAAUCCAGUUAUAUAUAAACAUUCUUUUCUACAGAAUGUUUCGAAGUUUUACAGAUUCACAUAUGUCUUCACGAUCUUUGAUAUUUAAAAUGUUGUCUUAAGAGUCGUAAAUAGAUUCCUGUAAGAAUAAUAAAAUAUUAUCAUUUUGUUAUUUAGUUAAUAAUUAAUAGUUUCGUUAGAAUAGUUUUAUUGAAAUGUGUUUAUUGUUGUGUUGGACACGAAUAGUUUCUCUAAUUUCUUAAAUCCUUCAGUCAUUACCAUUGACAUUCAUAAUUUGUUGUUGUUGUUGAUAGAGUUACGUUUUUUUUUUAAACCGGAUUGUAUUUUCUGACUAGUCAAAUCCAUGCUCCUUUUUCAAUGUAGUUAAGCUCUGAAAAAUCAUGUUCAUAUAUGUAGCAUCACAUUUAACACAUCGAUAUUCCUACAACAGAAGUGACGGCUGUAAAUCUUUCUAUUCUUUAGUUUUGGUUGAGAUCUGAAAAUCGUGCUUUGCUGUAUUUACAAUAGUUAAUUUAUUGGGUUUAAUUUGGUUUUCUUUCGAUUUUAAAAUGUGAAUGUGCUGAUAACGAUAUUAGAAAUGCCUUAGAAUAUAUUUGGGUGUUCUAGUGCACUUUUUUUUUAUUACGGGGUGUUAAUCUUUCUUCAGACUACAAUAUCAUUUUUAUUAAAAAAUAUACCUAGUAUUAAGUUGAUAGCAUCCGUGGAGUCAGCCUAAGCUAGUUCUUAUUUUCAUUAACAUUAGUUUUCUAUAUAUACCUGUGAAGGAAUAAUUAUAAGUAUAUACAUUAAACUUUUAAAUCUAUCAAUGAGAGAAGAUAGGUAGGUAUCUUCUGUAGUCAUUAAACUAUACUAAGGUCGUAGACUCAGAAAAUGAUUGUCAUCUUGCUGAUGUCAAGUAAUUAGAAUAAAACAUGCUUAAGUUACUUACUCUGAAAAACUCCUUACCCGAGACAAACUUGUACAAGUGUUAGAUCAUCAUAUUAACCAGCCUUCUCGGUCGUUUAAAGUAUUACUUGAAGGAUAUUUCUGGUACUAAAGGAAAUGUUACGAUAACAUAUACCUUCCAUGGGCAAGAAGUGCACAAAUUGAACACCACUCAACUGAAAGGGAGUACUACGAGAAAGUAAUACACAAAGUGAAUACUCCUCUACUGAAGAGAGUGCAGCAGAUAAGAAAUGCACAAAGAGAACGUCCCCUCAGCUGAAAGAGAGUACUACGGGUAAGAAAUGCACAAAGGGAACAUCCUCCUCUCCUCAACUGAAAGAGAGUACUGCGGAUAAGAAUUGAACAAAGGGAACACCCCUUCAACUGAAAGAGAGUACUAUGGGUAAGAAAUGAACAAAGAAACCCCCCUCAACUAAAAGAGAGUGCAGCAGGUAAAAAAUGCACAAAAGAACAUCCUCCUCAACUGAAAGAGAGUGCAGCAAGUAAAAAAUGCACAAAGAAACCCCUCAACUAAAAGAUGGUACUACAGGUAAGAAAG